RNAcentral lists this unclassified non-coding RNA (345 nucleotides) under soil metagenome. RNAcentral describes it as "partial contains 5.8S ribosomal RNA, internal transcribed spacer 2, and large subunit ribosomal RNA". The stretch from base 1 to 119 matches the Rfam family "5.8S ribosomal RNA", at positions 35 to 154 of the family's 154-position model. The record is from RNAcentral.
GAUGAAGAACGCAGCGAAAUGCGAUACGUAAUGUGAAUUGCAAAUUCAGUGAAUCAUCGAGUCUUUGAACGCACAUUGCGCCCCCUGGUAUUCCGGGGGGCAUGCCUGUCCGAGCGUCAUUGCUGCCCUCAAGCACGGCUUGUGUGUUGGGCCCCGUCCUCCGAUCCCGGGGGACGGGCCCGAAAGGCAGCGGCGGCACCGCGUCCGGUCCUCGAGCGUAUGGGGCUUUGUCACCCGCUCUGUAGGCCCGGCCGGCGCUUGCCGAUCAACCCAAAUUUUUAUCCAGGUUGACCUUGGAUCAGGUAGGGAUACCCGCUGAACUUAAGCAUAUCAAUAAGCGGAGGA